GAUGAACGCUGGCGGCGUGCCUAAUACAUGCAAGUCGAGCGAACAGACGAGGAGCUUGCUCCUCUGACGUUAGCGGCGGACGGGUGAGUAACACGUGGAUAACCUACCUAUAAGACUGGGAUAACUUUGGGAAACCGGAGCUAAUACCGGAUAAUAUAUUGAACCGCAUGGUUCAAUAGUGAAAGACGGUUUUGCUGUCACUUAUAGAUGGAUCCGCGCCGCAUUAGCUAGUUGGUAAGGUAACGGCUUACCAAGGCGACGAUGCGUAGCCGACCUGAGAGGGUGAUCGGCCACACUGGAACUGAGACACGGGCCAGACUCCUACGGGAGGCAGCAGUAGGGAAUCUUCCGCAAUGGGCGAAAGCCUGACGGAGCAACGCCGCGUGAGUGAUGAAGGUCUUCGGAUCGUAAAACUCUGUUAUUAGGGAAGAACAAAUGUGUAAGUAACUAUGCACGUCUUGACGGUACCUAAUCAGAAAGCCACGGCUAACUACGUG
RNAcentral lists this ribosomal RNA (497 nucleotides) under uncultured bacterium. RNAcentral's name for it is "partial 16S ribosomal RNA". It matches the Rfam family "Bacterial small subunit ribosomal RNA", at positions 28 to 507 of the family's 1533-position model. The record is from RNAcentral.